UAACUGGUCUGAGAGGAUGAUCAGUCACACUGGAACUGAGACACGGUCCAGACUCCUACGGGAGGCAGCAGUGGGGAAUAUUGGACAAUGGGCGAAAGCCUGAUCCAGCCAUGCCGCGUGUGUGAAGAAGGUCUUCGGAUUGUAAAGCACUUUAAGUUGGGAGGAAGGGCAGUAAGUUAAUACCUUGCUGUUUUGACGUUACCAACAGAAUAAGCACCGGCUAACUUCGUGCCAGCAGCCGCGGUAAUACGAAGGGUGCAAGCGUUAAUCGGAAUUACUGGGCGUAAAGCGCGCGUAGGUGGUUCAGCAAGUUGGAUGUGAAAUC
RNAcentral lists this ribosomal RNA (325 nucleotides) under Pseudomonas aeruginosa. RNAcentral's name for it is "bacterial SSU rRNA". It matches the Rfam family "Bacterial small subunit ribosomal RNA", at positions 284 to 601 of the family's 1533-position model. Lineage: Bacteria; Pseudomonadati; Pseudomonadota; Gammaproteobacteria; Pseudomonadales; Pseudomonadaceae. The record is from RNAcentral.